AGAGGUUGCAACGCUGAGCCCACAACAGAAGCACUCAUGGUGCAGCCUGCCAGAUUCCAACAAAUCUGUGAAUUCUGCU
RNAcentral lists this ribozyme (79 nucleotides) under Crocodylus porosus (Australian saltwater crocodile). RNAcentral's name for it is "Mammalian CPEB3 ribozyme (ENSCPRG00005003060.1)". It matches the Rfam family "Mammalian CPEB3 ribozyme". Rfam says of the family: The mammalian CPEB3 ribozyme is a self cleaving RNA located in the second intron of the CPEB3 gene which belongs to a family of genes regulating messenger RNA polyadenylation. Lineage: Eukaryota; Metazoa; Chordata; Crocodylia; Crocodylidae. The record is from RNAcentral.